GAUGAACGCUGGCGGCGUGCCUAAUACAUGCCAGUCGAGCGGACGGACGAGAAGCUUGCUUCUCUGAUGUUAGCGGCGGGCGGGUGAGUAACACGUGGAUAACCUCCCUAUAUGACUGGGAUAACUACGGAACACCGUAUCUAAUACCGUAGAAUAUUUUGAACCGCAGGGUUGAAAAGUGAAAUACGGUCUUGCUGUCACUUAUAGAUGGAUACGCGCUGCAUGAGCUAGUUGGUAAGUUACAGGCCUUCCAAGGGAACGAUGCAUAGCCGACCGGAUAGGGGGGUCGGCCACAUGAGAACUGAGCCACGGUCCAGGCUCCUACGAGAGGCAGCAGUAGGGAAUGGUACGCAAUAGGGGAAAGCAUGACGGAGCAAGGCCGCGUGAGAGAUGAAGGUCUUCGGAUCGUAAUACUCUGUUAUUAGGGAAGAACAUAUGUGUAAGUAACUGUGCACAGCUUGACGGUACCUAAUCAGAAAGCCACGGCUAACUACGUG
Molecule: ribosomal RNA, 497 nt
Filed under: uncultured bacterium
Lineage: Bacteria
Description: partial 16S ribosomal RNA
Rfam family: Bacterial small subunit ribosomal RNA
Source: RNAcentral